Molecule: long non-coding RNA, 3267 nt
Organism: Bombyx mori (domestic silkworm)
Lineage: Eukaryota; Metazoa; Arthropoda; Insecta; Lepidoptera; Bombycidae
Exons: 2
Source: RefSeq, a predicted model, not a curated record
UAAUGUCGGAUUUGAAAAAAAUCCAAAAUCCACUUUUUACCAUAUUUGGAUACUACAUUGUCUAAAUAUUAUUGCUACAUUAAAAAAAAAAUUACAUGUAUUUUAGAUUUCAAAUUAAGCAGUCGGUAUAAUGACGGAUUUGAUAGACGCUCAUAGUAAAAUGACGCUUGUGCUUAAUCGUCUCUGCACGACGCGCGCCCGGCCCUCCCACUCCCGACGUAUCCACGCAACCGACAUUGUUCCUCGAAGUUGCCCACGCGUUGUAUUUAGAUUCAAUUUUUGUUAAACAUUUACACUAGAUUACCUCAGUUACCUUUUUAUUAAUUAUUACGUAUCUAGUCUUACGUACCGUGUUAAAAGGUGUGUCACAAUGAAACCAGGACGAUCAAAGCUUAUGUUAAAACUGGUGGAAGAAAGAAGCAAAAAUGCACAAAUUACGAAUUUUACUCAUGAAGAGUGCACUGAUGAGGAGGACUGUAUACCAGGGACUCCAGAAUGCCAUUCACCUUUACCUCCAGGAGUACGCCAUGCAAUAGUAAAAUGAACGACGUUUAUGAGAAUGUCUUUGCAGACGUUGUACACCGAGCAAACGAAAGUAUUACAGAUGAAAAUAGGAAUCAAAACAUACCAUCCUCUACUUGUUUUCUUAGAGAAAAUCACUUUAUAGUUGGAUAUCAAAAUGCUUCCACACCAGAUUUACUCUCGUCAGAAAAUCAACAUACCGUGUCCCUAAAUAUCAGCCCAGCUUUAAGCCCUUUAAAUACCUCUAUCUUGAUAUCAGAUAUAUCACCUUUCCCACAACCGAUUAAUCGAUUGCCAUUACCAGCAAAAGGCCAUGGCGAAGUCUGUAACGAUUUUUGUUGUUGCACUCAUGAUGAAGCGGACUAUAGCAACUGUCCUUUAAUCAACACAGUUGUGUCCUCAUGCCAGUCGUGUCCUCUAGUGCCUCGUAUUCGAUGUAGAGGUAAAAAACGAAUCCGAAAUUACGAUGAUUGAAAAGAAGUUACUAGAAAGCGCUUAAUAAUGCCGGGAAAUAAACUCCUCCAAAAAGGGCCUUUUUGUUCCUUCAAAAACUAUGGGUGCCUACCCAGUACUUGCGCGUGUAAAAGUAAAUGUUACACUAUGUUGACCCUUGAAGAAAGACAGGGUGCAUUUGAUAAGUUUUGAGAAUUAGGUGAUUGUGAGAAACAAUGGUUGUAUGUUGCGAAUUAUACUACAAAACAGCAGAAUAAAAGGGGUCUUCAAAGAGCUUUAAAGCAUAACCGUCAAUUCACUAACAAUUAUUUUUUGCCAAAAGAAUCAUCAACAAUAGAGGAUUGUAAAAUCAUGUUUUUAAGUACAUAUUCGAUUAUCGAAAGGUUAGUUCGGACAGCUUGGGAUAAGUAUGACGGAAGCACUUUGAUUGAAGAAGACAUGAGGGGGAAACAUAAAAAUCAUAAUCGGAUUGUUGACGAUGAAAUGGUAAUGUGGGUUUGCACCCACGUUGAAUCAUUUGUACCAGUAGAGUCGCAUUAUAGAGCAGCGUCCAAAUGGCUGUAUUUAGGUGACUUCGGAGACUUCAGCAUCGGUCGGAUGUUCAAUUUAUACAAAGAAUUGUCUGAACUCCAGCCUUAAAGAAAGCUUAUGUAGGUCUAAUUCCAAUCAGUAAUGAUAAAUAUAACAAUCUUAUUAGUCUUUGCAAUUCCUCAAUAAUACCCACGAAAUAUCAUAAAUUUUUCAGAAGUUUAACUCAUGGACGUAAUGUUACUGAAGCUGGUAAUGAAUCCGACUGAAUAAUUGUGCACUAGGGUUUUUUUUUAUAAUUUUAGUUAUUUUAUUGUUAUUAUUUUGAUCUCUGAAGUUGUGAUUGUUAAGAUUUUUUUCAUUUUAAUAAAUGUUUUUUUCUGUUCUUUAUAAUUAAAUUCUAUAUAAUGAUUAGUAUUUAAAGGGGAUUGCCCACUCUCCAUAGUGUGCUAGGCCCAAGAUGGACAUCAAAUAUUACUAUAAAAAUGUACUGAUUCAAAUUCUUAAAUGUAUUGGAUAUCUAAAAAAUAUAUUGAAAUUGACGCCACUAUUAUAAAAAAUAUAAUAAAAAUAAAAACUCGUUUUGAGGUUAAUUUUAUAUAUAAAUAAGUGUCGGAUUGUGAGAUACUUCAAGAACUUGUCUUUUCUUAAUGUUUAAGAUGUUCCUAAUGUAUUUUUAUCCAAUAGGGUAUAAAAACACACUUAAUUCUUUAAAUAUCUAUAUUUUCUUCAUCUUCAUACACAAUUAGUAUCAUCUAAAAAUAGCAAAGGAGAGCAUAUACACGGUUUUAAAUCUCGGUCAGGGUAAAACCACAAUUCACACAAUGUUUUUUAGUCGUAGUAUGAAACGUUAUUGAUAAAAGUAAAAUAAAUCGAAGAAAAAUCAAAACACAUCCAUUUUGUACGCAAGCACAACACCACAAGCAGCAAGCGAAGUAUUAAAUUCAGUGUUGUCAGUAUAAAGAAAAAUAAUUACAUGAAAUUCAUAUAUCGAUUAUUUUUUUAAAUAACCGAUAAUUGAUUUAUAUCUUAAUCUUUUUUUUACGAGUACACAUUAUUUUUUAUGUUUUUGUUUUAGUUGUACAUAUUUAAAUAACAAUACUAGUAAAGUUUUUUUUAUUGCUUAGAUGGGUGGGCGAGCUCACAGCCACCCUGGUGUUGCUAAGUGGUUACUCGAGCCCACAUACAUCUACAACGUAAAUGCGCCACCCACCUUGAGAUAUAAGUUCUAAGGUCUCAAGUAUAGUUACAAGUUAAAGUCCAAUGGGUAUGUCUUCGAUGUUAUUUUAUGUGCAUAAAAUCCAUUAAAAUCGUUUGAUUAAUGAUAAUACUUAAAAUGAUUUAUUUAUAUGUUUUAUUUAUAUACUCAAAAUAUUUACUUCAUACGUAAAAGGAUUUGAAGCUGGCAAUAUUUUUCCCGCAAAAAUAAAAAUCCUUGUUUUUUCAAUAGAGUUACUUUUUUUAAACUACUUAUUGUAAACUAUAGUGGCGCUUAUUUGCAAGAAAGUAAAUGCAUAUUUAUUUAUGACAAAAUUAAUGCACUAAGUAUUUUUUCUAUAAUCUAUUGUCCGCUUUGGGCCUAAAAUGGGCCAUCCCCUUUGUAGGUUAGUAAUUUACCAAAAAAUCAGUAAUCAUAUCCAAAUAUAGUCAACAUUAUAGUCUGCUUAGUCUAUAUAGUAAUAAAAGAAUACCUACUAUUGAUAAUAAAUACUUAAUUUAAGCAUAAUGUAUAUCAUGUUGAUUAAAAAAGAGUAAGACUAAUUA